This 434-nucleotide long non-coding RNA is filed under the name Struthio camelus australis. RNAcentral describes it as "lncRNA (ENSSCUG00000016167.1)". Lineage: Eukaryota; Metazoa; Chordata; Aves; Struthioniformes; Struthionidae. The record is from RNAcentral.
GGAGGCGGGCCAGCAACAGAGCUCUUAGAGAUAACAGUGAUGAGGAUGCUGAAAAGAAGUCAGCAAGAUAGGAAACGAGGGGAUUCGGAGGUCACUGGAGCCCAGACUGAGCAGGAAAUGGAGGGAGGAACCGAGUGUCAGAAGCAGUUGAUAGAUUCAUUGAUUUUUGUUUCUUUUUUAAGAUAAAACUUCCUCCAAUGAUAUCUACAGCUUCGUCUCCAUUGCUUUGCAUCUUAAACCCCCAAUCUGUGUUGCUGGCGAGUACUAGUUGGGCUUUACAUGAAAAGGACACGCUGUUCUCUUCAAUAUCAACAGCAAAAUCUUCAGCGUUCCUUUUAAUUUCCAGCCAUGCAAAGGAGUUUUCAGACAUGACAACAGGAAGAUUAAUGUUACUGAUUGCUUCCUCUGAUGAAGCCUGAAACACAAGGAAGAAG